GACUACAAUUUAAAUCCUUUAAGAAGGAUCCAUUGGAGGGCAAGUCUGGUGCCAGCAGCCGCGGUAAUUCCAGCUCCAAUAGCGUAUAUUAAAGUUGCUGCAGUUAAAAAGCUCGUAGUUGAAUCUCAGUUACAGGCAGGUGGUUCACUUUACAGUGUUACUACCUGCACUGAACCUAUUGCUGGAUCUCAUGGGUGCCCUUCACUGGGUGCCCAUUGAGGACAGACGUUUUACUUUGAGAAAAUUAUAGUGCUCAAAGCAGGCGAAUGCCUGAAUAGUUGUGCAUGGAAUAAUGAAAUAUGGCCUCGGUGUUGUUUUGUUGGUUCACGAUGCUCGAGGUAAUGGUUGAAAGGGACUGACGGGGGCAUUCGUAUUGCGACGUUAGAGGUGAAAUUCUUAGAUCGUCGCAAGACGGACUACUGCGAAAGCAUUUGCCAAGAAUGUCUUCAUUAAUCAAGAACGAAAGUCAGAGGUUCGAAGGCGAUCAGAUACCGCCCUAGUUCUGACCUUAAACGAUGCUAACUGGCGAUCCAGGAGGGGUAUUUAAAUGACCCUCUGGGCAGCUUCUGGGAAACCAAAGUAUUUGGGUUCCGGGGGAAGUAUGGUUGCAA
Molecule: ribosomal RNA, 611 nt
Filed under: Candona sp. 28 IK-2020
Lineage: Eukaryota; Metazoa; Arthropoda; Ostracoda; Podocopida; Candonidae
Description: SSU rRNA
Rfam family: Eukaryotic small subunit ribosomal RNA
Source: RNAcentral